Long non-coding RNA from Astatotilapia calliptera (eastern happy), 3476 nucleotides. The record is from Ensembl. NCBI's taxonomy places the organism in Eukaryota, Metazoa, Chordata, Actinopteri, Cichliformes, Cichlidae.
AAAGAAGCAUGCAAGCAACAGUUCACAAAGCAUGCAGAGUAACAAUUAAAAGCAACAAACAGCUCAGUGAUUAUUUUCACAAUACUCUACAUGCAGCCAUGCAAAACAGAACAAAGACAAAUGAGCAACACUGCUGAUUAAGCAUAAUUUGCACACAUUUGCUCUGCAAGGCAAUGAAGUAUAGAUAAAAUGCUUUUUCCCUAUCCAGAAUUAUUCAUCUUAACAAGGUCAUGGUGUACGUAUGUGUAAGCAUAACUCUUGAAUAACAAUUGUAAAAAUUGGAAUAGCUUGCAAAAUACACUUUGUCUUUCACUUUCUUUGUUGCAGGUUCCCGAAGAUCCACGUGUCUGUUUUCAUAAAGUACCAGUCGAUCAACAUCAGCUUAAAAAGGAGGGAGGCGGUCCGAGUGUGUGGUGGAAAGGAAUUCUGUUGAACCAGCCAGCCUGCCUUUUGCAACUACCUGCCAAAAAACCCCAAUGUAACCUACCUUUGAUGUUGUGCUCACCGUUGUGCUCACAGUCCUAACGUCAUCCCCAGCAUUUAGAUGGAGCCCAAAGCACUUCUAUCCUAAUGUGUCCGAGCCUUGCACAACAUUUCAUAGACCAUGGCAAGGGGCAGAGACUGUUAAUCUGUCGACAAGUAUAUGGACUACCCACUACCUACCUGCAAAGACACAGGGUUGACAUUGUACACUUGCAUUGUGAGCACAGACAAAACACAAACACACACUCACACUCACACACACACACACACACACACACACACACACACACUACAACCAAUGUUCCCUCUAAUUUUUCACGUGUCUGAGCGAACGCACAAACUCCCUGAGCGGUCCCUUGGACCUCUGUGAGCAACAGCAGACGUGUGCACUGUGGUCACGGCAGCAUUGAAUCCAUCCAAGUUACACGGUUUAUUAAAAUAAUCAAAUUACAGCAUUUAUGUUAGACUACUUUUAAUUAACUGCUUUAGCCCACUUACAAUGAAAAUUAAAAAGAAAUCUUGUUCAUGACCUGUGUAGCAUGUUAACACUAUUGGAAGUAAAAAUAACUUGAACUCCAAUUUUGAAAACACAACUUUCUUCUUUUUUCUUUCUUUUUUUUUUAUAAAGCUCUGACUUGUAUUAUGAGUAUGAGUCUGUGGUCUGGGAGAGAGUCCUGUAAGUCUCUGUCUGCAAAAUACAGUAUAUAAUGACCAAUGUUGGGCAAUUAAUUAUAUAGUUACUUCUUUAAAAAAGUAACAGAGUUAUGCAAACAACAACAUUUUUUGCAGCUGUUUACCCAAAAUGCAGCCAAGGCGGUUUUUUAAAUAAACAAACUAUUUACAGAACAAUCAGCUGUUCUGCAUCAAAUCUGAUGCCACACAAAUCAUUUGUGCCACUCCAACAAAUAAUUUCUGUCCACUAUGAGAUAAAGGAGAACAACAGCCUGAUAGCUGCAGGCCUGACAACAGGAGAUGUAUCACUCCUGUAACACCUGUAACAUUCAGCAGUCACCUCAUUGUUCUGACACACACAACAAAACUAUUGACUACACUACACACUAACUGCACAAGAUUUGCGCUAAAUGUCGCAAAUCUCUCACAUCUCAAAACACCGCCGUCACUCCUAAAACUUCCCUCUUCCUAAACAACUAAAUGCCAUGUUGCCAUAUCAUUUUUUGAUUGGUCGACAUGGUACAUUUUUCCACCAAUAGGAAGGAGUGGGGUUUUUUUGGUUUUGUUUUUGCUCACAGGUGGAGAGGGCUUUCGAGCGUUUUCCUUAUAAAACGCAGUUUUUACCUUUCUUCCUGCACUAAAUAUAAACAACGAUAGUAUUCAGGAAGAAAACCAAACAUUGCAGAUAUUUUUAUCAGAACUCUGGUUUUACAUGGCCUAUCAACACAAUUUAAAAACUGGUAUAAAGUCAACACUUUUUCCGUCAAUUGUUCCGUUUGUCCUGCUCACAUCUCCAAUGGUUGUACACGUUGUCAUUGACGCCAUGCCGCUUUGCUAGCUAAAACACCGGUGUCGGCACAUAAGGACGCUGUCAUAGCCUGUCAGCGACGUUGAUUAGCUUUGUAUAUACAAAUGUGAAUCACAUUAUUGGCUGGACUAUGGGAUAAGGUGGCAUCGUUGUAAUCCCAUACGGGAGCAGCCAGUACUUACUGACUAACACGGCAAAACAGAAUUGUUAAAGUAUUCAUUUUAAUUUCAUUCAGGUUAGAUUUUUUUUCUGUGUGCAAUGCAGAUUUUCUGUGCGCAGAGACCGUGCCAGCAGUGCGCAAUUGCGCACCCGCGCAGCUUAGAGGGAACAUUGACUACAACUCAUACACAAGAUUUUACAUUCAAACAAAAAAUAAACAAAAUUCUGUAAUUACAAGUAUUAAAGUAUGUUAACACUUAGCUGUGUGUGUCAACGUCAGAAUGCCUAUCAUGUUUUAUUUGUGAAAAGAAGAAACUUCUCAUUUUCAGAUAAUAUCGGGUUUAUGUAAAUCUGUUGUGUUUAGGUUUGACACUUAAAAGAGAGUUUUAUUUGCUUAUGUGCCCCCACCCCCCUUGUUCCCCCUCACUUUACUAGAGAAAAGGAUAUUUAAGACUCUUUUAUAAGAAUAUUGUCACCUAAAACAGACACAACUUGUAUUACAAAGUAUGUACAGUAAAUAUUUAAGAUGUUAUAGGUAUUUUAACUAAGUCCAUUUAAUGCCCCGCUAGCUAACUUUGCACAGCGCUUCAGUUUAAGAAGAAAUCUAAUAUUUUAUAGUUUGUGUAUCUACACUGUGAUGGUGGCUAUUAGGACUGCUGCAGGACUCCUAGCUACUGUAUGACUGUGUGGUUCUGUAUGAGUGCAUACCGUAAGGAGGUCAGUGGGUAUUUGAGGGAGUGCAUGCACGUAUGUGAGUGCUGGUGUGAAUGUGGUGUGUGCAAUAGUUUGUUGGUCUAGUGAACCAAUAUGCCAGCCUCACACACAGUUGUCCUGUUGUUAAUCUAAAUCUGUGGGUCUAUGUCUUAGUCCAGGUCUCUUUCUGUUUCUCCCUCUUUGACUCCUUUUGUCUCUUUGCUUUGUUGGGACAUACAGGGUAACAUAAAGGGGGUGGGAGUAUAACGUGGGGUGACUGGUGUGCCUGAGUAUUGAACUCAAGUAAUAAUGAAUUAGUAAGGCCUGUCCCAGCCUCACCUGUGGGUGUGUUCUUGUGUAAAUAGAUAUUCUGUAGAUGCCAAUUAGCAAAUAUGGAAAAGAUGAUUAACUUACAGCAUUGGAAGAGGUUCCUUAAAAAAUAAUAUUAACACUUAAUAAAGGUUUUCACUGUAAAUCUCUGUUGUGCUUUUUAAAAUUUAUUAUUUUAACCAAAGCUAUGAAGUUUUUAAAGGGCAAACCAUGUAAAUGGAUGAGACAUGUGACAGUAUAUAUAAUAAUAAAAAAUACACAUUAUGGUUUAUUCUCUGCUGUUUAAAUGGCUAAAGCAGCCUUGCACCCUCCCCCCUGUCCGUUCAUUUAC